Molecule: ribosomal RNA, 2902 nt
Filed under: Enterobacter cloacae
Lineage: Bacteria; Pseudomonadati; Pseudomonadota; Gammaproteobacteria; Enterobacterales; Enterobacteriaceae
Also listed under: 1 other name
Description: bacterial LSU rRNA
Rfam family: Bacterial large subunit ribosomal RNA
Source: RNAcentral
UUAAGCGACUAAGCGUACACGGUGGAUGCCCUGGCAGUCAGAGGCGAUGAAGGACGUGCUAAUCUGCGAAAAGCGCCGGCGAGGUGAUAUGAACCUUUGACCCGGCGAUGUCCGAAUGGGGAAACCCAGUGUGUUCCGACACACUAUCGUUAACUGAAUACAUAGGUUAACGAGGCGAACCGGGGGAACUGAAACAUCUAAGUACCCCGAGGAAAAGAAAUCAACCGAGAUUCCCCCAGUAGCGGCGAGCGAACGGGGAGCAGCCCGGAGUCUGAAUCAGCUUGUGUGUUAGUGGAACGGUCUGGAAAGUCCGACGGUACAGGGUGAUAGUCCCGUACACGAAAAUGCACAUGCUGUGAACUCGAAGAGUAGGGCGGGACACGUGGUAUCCUGUCUGAAUAUGGGGGGACCAUCCUCCAAGGCUAAAUACUCCUGACUGACCGAUAGUGAACCAGUACCGUGAGGGAAAGGCGAAAAGAACCCCGGCGAGGGGAGUGAAAAAGAACCUGAAACCGUGUACGUACAAGCAGUGGGAGCACCUUCGGGUGUGACUGCGUACCUUUUGUAUAAUGGGUCAGCGACUUAUAUUCUGUAGCAAGGUUAACCGUAUAGGGGAGCCGAAGGGAAACCGAGUCUUAACUGGGCGUUAAGUUGCAGGGUAUAGACCCGAAACCCGGUGAUCUAGCCAUGGGCAGGUUGAAGGUUGGGUAACACUAACUGGAGGACCGAACCGACUAAUGUUGAAAAAUUAGCGGAUGACCUGUGGCUGGGGGUGAAAGGCCAAUCAAACCGGGAGAUAGCUGGUUCUCCCCGAAAGCUAUUUAGGUAGCGCCUCGUGAACUCAUCUUCGGGGGUAGAGCACUGUUUCGGCUAGGGGGCCAUCCCGGCUUACCAACCCGAUGCAAACUACGAAUACCGAAGAAUGUUAUCACGGGAGACACACGGCGGGUGCUAACGUCCGUCGUGAAGAGGGAAACAACCCAGACCGCCAGCUAAGGUCCCAAAGUCAUGGUUAAGUGGGAAACGAUGUGGGAAGGCACAGACAGCCAGGAUGUUGGCUUAGAAGCAGCCAUCAUUUAAAGAAAGCGUAAUAGCUCACUGGUCGAGUCGGCCUGCGCGGAAGAUGUAACGGGGCUAAACCAUGCACCGAAGCUGCGGCAGCGACACUAUGUGUUGUUGGGUAGGGGAGCGUUCUGUAAGCCGUUGAAGGUGUGCUGUGAGGCAUGCUGGAGGUAUCAGAAGUGCGAAUGCUGACAUAAGUAACGAUAAAGCGGGUGAAAAGCCCGCUCGCCGGAAGACCAAGGGUUCCUGUCCAACGUUAAUCGGGGCAGGGUGAGUCGACCCCUAAGGCGAGGCCGAAAGGCGUAGUCGAUGGGAAACAGGUUAAUAUUCCUGUACUUGGUGUUACUGCGAAGGGGGGACGGAGAAGGCUAUGUCAGCCGGGCGACGGUUGUCCCGGUUUAAGCAUGUAGGCGGAGGUUCCAGGUAAAUCCGGUACCUUGUUAACGCUGAGGUGUGAUGACGAGGCACUACGGUGCUGAAGUGAUAAAUGCCCUGCUUCCAGGAAAAGCCUCUAAGCAUCAGGUAACACGAAAUCGUACCCCAAACCGACACAGGUGGUCAGGUAGAGAAUACCAAGGCGCUUGAGAGAACUCGGGUGAAGGAACUAGGCAAAAUGGUGCCGUAACUUCGGGAGAAGGCACGCUGAUAUGUAGGUGAAGUCCCUGCGGACGGAGCUGAAAUCAGUCGAAGAUACCAGCUGGCUGCAACUGUUUAUUAAAAACACAGCACUGUGCAAACACGAAAGUGGACGUAUACGGUGUGACGCCUGCCCGGUGCCGGAAGGUUAAUUGAUGGGGUUAGCGGCAACGCGAAGCUCUUGAUCGAAGCCCCGGUAAACGGCGGCCGUAACUAUAACGGUCCUAAGGUAGCGAAAUUCCUUGUCGGGUAAGUUCCGACCUGCACGAAUGGCGUAAUGAUGGCCAGGCUGUCUCCACCCGAGACUCAGUGAAAUUGAACUCGCUGUGAAGAUGCAGUGUACCCGCGGCAAGACGGAAAGACCCCGUGAACCUUUACUAUAGCUUGACACUGAACACUGGUCCUUGAUGUGUAGGAUAGGUGGGAGGCUUUGAAGCGUGGACGCCAGUCUGCGUGGAGCCAUCCUUGAAAUACCACCCUUUAAUGGCUGGUGUUCUAACGUAGACCCGUGAUCCGGGUUGCGGACAGUGUCUGGUGGGUAGUUUGACUGGGGCGGUCUCCUCCCAAAGAGUAACGGAGGAGCACGAAGGUUGGCUAAUCCUGGUCGGACAUCAGGAGGUUAGUGCAAUGGCAUAAGCCAGCUUGACUGCGAGCGUGACGGCGCGAGCAGGUGCGAAAGCAGGUCAUAGUGAUCCGGUGGUUCUGAAUGGAAGGGCCAUCGCUCAACGGAUAAAAGGUACUCCGGGGAUAACAGGCUGAUACCGCCCAAGAGUUCAUAUCGACGGCGGUGUUUGGCACCUCGAUGUCGGCUCAUCACAUCCUGGGGCUGAAGUAGGUCCCAAGGGUAUGGCUGUUCGCCAUUUAAAGUGGUACGCGAGCUGGGUUUAGAACGUCGUGAGACAGUUCGGUCCCUAUCUGCCGUGGGCGCUGGAGAAUUGAGGGGGGCUGCUCCUAGUACGAGAGGACCGGAGUGGACGCAUCACUGGUGUUCGGGUUGUCAUGCCAAUGGCACUGCCCGGUAGCUAAAUGCGGAAGAGAUAAGUGCUGAAAGCAUCUAAGCACGAAACUUGCCCCGAGAUGAGUUCUCCCUGAGACCUUGAGUCUCCUGAAGGAACGUUGAAGACGACGACGUUGAUAGGUCGGGUGUGUAAGCGCAGCGAUGCGUUGAGCUAACCGAUACUAAUGAACCGUGAGGCUUAACCUU